AUUUAAAUAGUUUAAUUCAAAAUUUAAUAUUGAAGAUAUUAAGAAAACAUAAGUUUUUAAAUA
This 63-nucleotide transfer RNA is filed under the name Tanna japonensis. Its description in RNAcentral is "tRNA-Phe". Lineage: Eukaryota; Metazoa; Arthropoda; Insecta; Hemiptera; Cicadidae. The record is from RNAcentral.